UACGUAGGGUGCGAGCGUUGUCCGGAAUUAUUGGGCGUAAAGAGCUCGUAGGCGGUUUGUCGCGUCGACUGUGAAAACCUACAGCUUAACUGUGGGCUUGCAGUCGAUACGGGCAGACUUGAGUUCGGUAGGGGAGACUGGAAUUCCUGGUGUAGCGGUGAAAUGCGCAGAUAUCAGGAGGAACACCAAUGGCGAAGGCAGAUCUCUGGGCCGUAACUGACGCUGAGGAGCGAAAGCAUGGGGAGCGAACAGG
RNAcentral lists this ribosomal RNA (253 nucleotides) under uncultured bacterium. RNAcentral's name for it is "partial 16S ribosomal RNA". It matches the Rfam family "Bacterial small subunit ribosomal RNA", at positions 524 to 776 of the family's 1533-position model. The record is from RNAcentral.